Molecule: unclassified non-coding RNA, 225 nt
Filed under: Hevea brasiliensis (rubber tree)
Lineage: Eukaryota; Viridiplantae; Streptophyta; Magnoliopsida; Malpighiales; Euphorbiaceae
Source: RNAcentral
GGCACUCCCCUGAAUAAUGCUCGAUUUUUCCUGAAUUGUAGCACAAGGAUCUCUAGAAGGCCAAGGUUGCUCCCACUGUCGGAUGGGGCUGGAAAUGUCUUUGCAAGAUCCUGUCCCGGAACUAGCUAAUAGAUGAUCUUUAAGGCCCUUCACUGCUUUAAGUCUCUGUGCUUCAUCCAGAUAACUAUAUCGUUGGCCUAGUUUCUCGAGUUCAUGAAGUCUUUC